AAGUCAGUAACAAGGUUUUCGUAGGUGAACCUGCGGAAGGAUCAUUACAAAUAAAGCUAGGCAUACGGAAGUGGGGUCUUGAUCUGUAAGUGGUAGAGCGAACAGUACGGCUGCCUCCCGAAAUGUCUUACAUGUCCCCCACAGCCUGAAGGCCGAAUUUACAACCCUUGAUUAUCUACACUUAAGUUGCAAUUUGGGGUUGCUCAAAGUGCCCCAGAGGACCCAACUCUCUUGCAUUUAGUGACGUCAUGAGUACUAUAUAAUAUUUAAAA
This 272-nucleotide unclassified non-coding RNA is filed under the name plant metagenome. RNAcentral describes it as "partial contains small subunit ribosomal RNA and internal transcribed spacer 1". The stretch from base 1 to 47 matches the Rfam family "Eukaryotic small subunit ribosomal RNA", at positions 1786 to 1831 of the family's 1831-position model. The record is from RNAcentral.